RNAcentral lists this transfer RNA (90 nucleotides) under Chloroflexota bacterium. RNAcentral's name for it is "Chloroflexi bacterium (marine sediment metagenome) tRNA-OTHER". It matches the Rfam family "tRNA". Rfam says of the family: Transfer RNA (tRNA) molecules are approximately 80 nucleotides in length. Lineage: Bacteria; Bacillati; Chloroflexota. The record is from RNAcentral.
GACGGAGUAGCCCAUUUGGUGAGGCACUCAGUGUCGCCAUUUACGAAUGUACCGGCUGAGUUGAAAUUGGUUCGAAUCCAAUCUCCGUCU